RNAcentral lists this long non-coding RNA (1213 nucleotides) under Sus scrofa (pig). RNAcentral describes it as "lncRNA (ENSSSCG00030036753.1)". Lineage: Eukaryota; Metazoa; Chordata; Mammalia; Artiodactyla; Suidae. The record is from RNAcentral.
AUGAGACCUCUGUUGUCAACUCAGACCCACCUCUGUCGGGAAGACCCACGGAUGGCGGCUGCAGGUUACAUGCUGUUUUUGUGUGGCCAUGACUCUUAUUGUACACCGUGGAUCUGUUUUUGCAUCCUAGCCUCCUCUAGCAGACUGGGAGCAUCUAGCAAAGUAGGCCCUCAGAGUCUGUUGAACAAAUUAAUAAAUGUUUCCACCAUUUAAAACAGAACCACCUAGUCCUGUCUCGAAACCAAAGAUUUCAUAACUUCUCUUGGCCACUCAUUUACUUGAUCAUCUUGGCAACUGAGACAGUCUUUCUUACCUAUUAAUCAACAAAGAAGUAUAUUUUUUAUAUUCCUUAUGUCCUGACAUCUCUUUGGUCUUAUUUGAACCUUCUUUACUCUUGCGAAGCUAUCAUGCAGGUGUUACGAGUGUUCCCACACAGGACAGCAUUUGAAGCAGAGCAAUUCGCUGAGAGCAGGCAGGGUGUUAUAAAGACAAAUGAGACUCCGGCGACUUAAAGACCAUCGGCAAGAAAUCCUUUAGCCUUCUGGGGACUAAAACCUUCCGUUACUUUAUCUGUUGUGGGAAGGGUGUAUAACUUUCUGUUGGUUGUGUAUCAGAGCUCUUCACAAUGACCCCAAAUCUUUUUUCAAAUGUGAUUCAGACUGGACACAAUAACAAGUCUGACUAAUGCGAGUCUUAUUUUCUUAACCUUUUAUGUCAUACUCCUUUUAAUAUACUCAAGAAUCAUGUCUUUCACAACAGCCUUACAGUAUUGACCUAAAUUUAGCUGAUGGGCAAGAAGGGCACUUUUUUUUUUUUUUUUUAAAUAAGGUCUUUGUGUACUCAGCUAAGCUACCUUCUAUCUAUCCCCACCCAAAUUUCUCCUGCUCAAGUAGAACCAUUUCUCCAGUUUGUUACAACGGUUAUUAUUUAUACUGCUGGGGUUCAGAUGGUUUGUGGUCUGAUCUAAUUUGGUAACAUACAUAUGGAAAAAAAGAAAAGAGACUUCAUUACUUAGAAGGAAAACUCUCUCCAGUUGUUUAACACUGAAUCUUGAAGUAUCCACUGGAAUUCACCUUGUACUUUCCCAACACCCAAGGUUAGACGUCUGGGGCUUCUGGGCUGUUCGGUGGUUGUGAUAAUACUAAGGAUUCUCUUUGUUUGUUUAGUAUUAGUCACAUAUUUUCUCCACCCUUCCUCCUUUUCUCGGGCUUUG